UACGGAGGAGGCAAGCGUUAUCCGGAAUUAUUGGGCGUAAAGCGUCCGUAGGUGGCUAGUCACGUCUGCGGUCAAAGACUGGGGCUUAACCCUGGAAAGGCCGUGGAAACUGACGAGCUAGAGUGCAGUAGGGGUAGAGGGAAUUCCCGGUGUAGCGGUGAAAUGCGUAGAGCUCGGGAAGAACAUCGGUGGCGAAAGCGCGCUACUGGACUGCAACUGACACUCAGGGACGAAAGCGAGGGGAGCGAAUGGG
This 253-nucleotide ribosomal RNA is filed under the name uncultured bacterium. RNAcentral's name for it is "partial 16S ribosomal RNA". It matches the Rfam family "Bacterial small subunit ribosomal RNA", at positions 524 to 776 of the family's 1533-position model. The record is from RNAcentral.